Molecule: ribosomal RNA, 1341 nt
Filed under: uncultured bacterium
Lineage: Bacteria
Description: partial 16S ribosomal RNA
Rfam family: Bacterial small subunit ribosomal RNA
Source: RNAcentral
GACGAACGCUGGCGGCGUGCUUAACACAUGCAAGUCGAACGGUAAGGCUCCAGCUUGCUGGGGUACACGAGUGGCGAACGGGUGAGUAACACGUGGGUGACCUGCCCUGCACUUCGGGAUAAGCCUGGGAAACUGGGUCUAAUACCGGAUAGGACCGCACCGUGAGGGUGUGGUGGAAAGUUUUUUCGGUGUGGGAUGGGCCCGCGGCCUAUCAGCUUGUUGGUGGGGUAAUGGCCUACCAAGGCGGCGACGGGUAGCCGGCCUGAGAGGGUGGACGGCCACAUUGGGACUGAGACACGGCCCAGACUCCUACGGGAGGCAGCAGUGGGGAAUAUUGCACAAUGGGCGGAAGCCUGAUGCAGCGACGCCGCGUGGGGGAUGACGGCCUUCGGGUUGUAAACUCCUUUCACCAUCGACGAAGGGUUUCUGACGGUAGAUGGAGAAGAAGCACCGGCUAACUACGUGCCAGCAGCCGCGGUAAUACGUAGGGUGCGAGCGUUGUCCGGAAUUACUGGGCGUAAAGAGCUCGUAGGUGGUUUGUCGCGUCGUCUGUGAAAUUCCGGGGCUUAACUCCGGGCGUGCAGGCGAUACGGGCAUAACUUGAGUACUGUAGGGGAGACUGGAAUUCCUGGUGUAGCGGUGAAAUGCGCAGAUAUCAGGAGGAACACCGGUGGCGAAGGCGGGUCUCUGGGCAGUAACUGACGCUGAGGAGCGAAAGCAUGGGGAGCGAACAGGAUUAGAUACCCUGGUAGUCCAUGCCGUAAACGGUGGGCGCUAGGUGUGGGUUUCCUUCCACGGGAUCCGUGCCGUAGCUAACGCAUUAAGCGCCCCGCCUGGGGAGUACGGCCGCAAGGCUAAAACUCAAAGGAAUUGACGGGGGCCCGCACAAGCGGCGGAGCAUGUGGAUUAAUUCGAUGCAACGCGAAGAACCUUACCUGGGCUUGACAUAUACAGGAUCGCGCCAGAGAUGGUGUUUCCCUUGUGGCUUGUAUACAGGUGGUGCAUGGUUGUCGUCAGCUCGUGUCGUGAGAUGUUGGGUUAAGUCCCGCAACGAGCGCAACCCUUGUCUUAUGUUGCCAGCACGUUGUGGUGGGGACUCGUAAGAAACUGCCGGGGUUAACUCGGAGGAAGGUGGGGAUGACGUCAAAUCAUCAUGCCCCUUAUGUCCAGGGCUUCACACAUGCUACAAUGGUCGGUACAGUGGGUUGCCAGUCCGUGAGGGCGAGCUAAUCCCGCAAAGCCGGUCUCAGUUCGGAUCGGGAUCUGCAACUCGACCCCGUGAAGUCGGAGUCGCUAGUAAUCGCAGAUCAGCAACGCUGCGGUGAAUACGUUCCCGGGCCU